GAUGAAGAACGCAGUGAAAUGCGAUAAGUAAUGUGAAUUGCAGAAUUCAGUGAAUCAUCGAAUCUUUGAACGCACAUUGCGCCCCUUGGUAUUCCGAGGGGCAUGCCUGUUCGAGCGUCAUUAUAACCCCUCAAGCUCAGCUUGGUGUUGGGGCCUGCUGCACUGGCAGCCCUUAAAAUCAGUGGCGGCGCCGUCUGGCUCUAAGCGUAGUAAUUCUUCUCGCUAUGGAGUCCUGGUGGAUGCUUGCCAUCAACCCCCAAUUUUUCUAUGGUUGACCUCGGAUCAGGUAGGGAUACCCGCUGAACUUAAGCAUAUCAAUAAGCGGAGGA
Molecule: unclassified non-coding RNA, 329 nt
Filed under: soil metagenome
Description: partial contains 5.8S ribosomal RNA, internal transcribed spacer 2, and large subunit ribosomal RNA
Rfam family: 5.8S ribosomal RNA (bases 1-120)
Source: RNAcentral